RNAcentral lists this long non-coding RNA (3359 nucleotides) under Homo sapiens (human). RNAcentral describes it as "HSALNT0390967". The record is from RNAcentral. Lineage: Eukaryota; Metazoa; Chordata; Mammalia; Primates; Hominidae.
AGAAGCGGAAACAGGAGCAGCAGCAGCAGCAGCAGCGGCAGGAGAGGCACACAGGAGCCAGAUCCUAAAGGCUUUGUAUGCCACAUUAGGAAAGAAUUUGGAAUACAGCUUCUGUUUGGAAAACAUUUUCUGUAACCAGCCCGACAAUAUGACCUGCCAGCGUCACACAACUUUCAUACAAAGAAAUCAGUAAGUCUCUUGAUUUUAGUCAGUCUACAUAUAGUAUUGAAAAGCUUUGUGACAAGUAAUUCUUUCUAAUGUUACCAGGCUGCCUGUGUAAAUACAGAAGGCCAGCCUAGGAGACAGGAUAAAUUAUCUGUGGGAAGGGCCCAUAAUCAAUAGCCAACAUUCUAGUUUAAAAUUCAUUCUCAAAUGCUUUGGGCACAAAAAGGUAAAAAUAAACUAAGUUUUUGCUCUUUUUAUAUAGCAUAUAUUUUCUUAGUUUGUACUAAUACAUUCUUAUAUUACAAAGGCAAUUUCAUGGAAGAAUCUUCCUUUUGAUAUUGAAUCAUCUGAAAUUACACAAAUAGAACUAUACAUUCAAAAAAAUUCUCAUGUGAAUAACAAAAAAGACAAGUUAAACAACAACAAAAAAGCUUCCUUUCUAUUUUUUUUAAAUGGUGAAAAGAUAUAUAUAUAUAUAUAUAUAUAUAUAUAUAUAUUCAGAAUUAGGCAGCUGGACUCAGUUUAGAUGAUCCCAAUUUUGUUGGCAACAUCCAAAGCAUCGUAACCAGGAGCCAGUCGAACAUAUGCCUUCUUCUCUCCAUCAGGUGGGUGACGUGCGGAUCUUCUUCUUUUUGUGGCUGUGGACACCUUUCAACACUGCCUUCUUGGCCUUUAAAGCCUUCGCUUUGGCUUCGGCUUUAGGAGGGGCAGGAGCUUCCUUCUUCGCUUUCGGCGCCAUCUUGUGAAAAGGGUCUUUUUUUUUUUUUUUUUUUUUACACAGGGUCUCACUCUGUUACCCAGGCUGGAGUGCAGUGGCAUGAUCUCGGCUCACUGCAGCCUCCACCUUGUGUUCAAGCGAUCCUCCCACCUCAGCCUCCUGAGUAGCUGGGAUUACAGGCGUGCGCCACCAUGCCUGGCUAAUUUUUGUAUUUUUAGUAGAGACGGGAUUUUGCCAUGUUGGCCAGGCUGGUCUCAAACUCCUAACCUCAAGUGAUCCACCCGCCUUAGCCUCCCAAAGUGCUGAGAUUACAGGCAUGAACCACCACACCUGGCCUGAAAGUUUUCCUUUCUUGCAGGUGGACAUUGAAUAGUAGGCCUAAUUUGGAUUUUGUUUUAAAAGUCCCAAAACAAAAGCAGCUUAAAACCUAAUUAAAAUGAAUUUAAAAAUCUGUGCACUCAACUACUGGUCUCUGGCACCAUUUUCUGUUUUUUGUCCUUGUGGCGCAGGUUCUUCUUUGUUUCUUCUUUUGCUCUUUUCAUUGGCUCAGUUGCACCAUUCUCCAUCACAUUCAUCAUCACUAUCAAAUUUAGUUUACCUGCCCUGAAACUGUACCUUCCCUAUCGCAAACCCAGGCUGGGUAGCUUUAUUACUCUUCCCUUUUCCUGUAAAUCUGCAAUCUUUGACUUCCAUUUAUUUGGGGAUUCUUGUUGGUCUUGCAUGAUUUUUUUCAAUGCUUCUUUUUCAUCUCUCCUUCUACUAUUUCCCAAGUCACUUCUUUGGUUUUUUGUUUUUUAAUUGUGGGUUACCAUUAUUUGUGUCUUUGGCUUUACCUAAUGCUUCUUUGGCUUUUUCUUUAAAUAGAAUUAUCCUCUCUUUUGCUCCUCUGACAAAGUCUAUCCAUUUUAUUUCACCACUUGCAUUUAUUUAUAUUAAAAAAUUUCUCUCAAUCCAGGUAGGAAGAACAUUCUAUGUUUACUACCUUGGGAAGGAAUGACAUACCUGUUCACAUGGAAAAAAGAAUUUACAACCUUGAUAAAAAGAAAAUAUGAUAAGAGCAAAGUUUCCAUGCUUCUAACCACUCAAAUAUUAGGAAUGAUACCCUGAGAUUGGAGCGAGACUGGCAGAGACAGAAAGGGGAAAAAAGAGGGUCACAAAGAGGAGUGGGAAACGACAGAAUCCCAGAAGAAGUUUUAGGGACCAAUGGCGGUGAAAACUUAUGUCUUCAAUCUUGGGCAGAGUUAAGGGAAGUGGCAAGAGAUCCCACAUGGUACAAGAGUAGAAAUGGUGUGCACAUAGUGUGUCUGUACAGCCAGGUCUGUGACAACCUUACCAUGUUCUCCAUAGCUUAGAGGAGAAGAAUGUUUCAUACAUGUACAAGAAUAAUAUGGACAUAGUCCAGACAACUGACAGGAGCUGGAUGAGAAACAAGAAUGGAUGCUGCAGAGACCUAUAUGAACCAAUGGCCAAUGAUCUGGUGGGGAAAUGGGACAUGUCAGUGGUGACAAUUAGGACAAAAUGUCCCCAAAUCCCUUACCUCAUACUUUUAUACCCUGAACACCCUAGAGAAUUUAGAUGUAACUUUGGAGGUGGUAUAAUUGAUUGAGAUUAAUUUUUCCACCUUUCUUCGAAUGGAGGUACUAAAAAAAACUUAAUAGAGUUUAUUUAAAGAAAAAUAAAGUUACAUAUCUUGCAAAUCCAAGUUCAAUGGACCAAGAUACAAAAUAGCUACCCUAAAGAAAAAUGUUUAGUAUCUUUUAUAUUUACCAACUGUCCUUAGAUAAUUAAUAAACUUGGUACAAGGAUAUAAAUCUAGCCAUGUUCUUAGUACAGUAAUUUUCAAACACACCUUAUCUGCCAAACUGAAAAGGAAAAUACUGAAUAGGGAAUACUAUCAAUUUACUUUAGAGAAUACAACUUCAAAAGUACUGCCUCUACACACAGGCUUUUGCUAAAUAUACAUCAACGAGCAAAGGCAGGAUGAGUAGAUCAUUAUGAGGUAACUGUGAGCCUGUCUGUUUUUAGUAUUUAUAAGCAAAUCAUGCUUAUAGUGAGUAAAUAAGAGCUAAAAAAUCACUUAUGGUAUUUUUCUUAUAGGAAUAUAUGGGCUUCUGUGUAUACAUGUGUGUGUUUCUAUAUAUAUAUAUAUAUUUUUUUUUUUUUUUGUUUGUUUGUUUGAGAUGGAGUCUUGCUCUGUCACCAGGCUGGUAUACAGCAGCAUGAUCUCAGCUCACUGCAGCCUCCGCCUCCCAGGUUCAAGCGAUUCUCCUGCCUCAGCCUCCCAAGUAGCUGGGAUUACAGGUGCGCACCACACACCCAGCUAAUUUUUGUAUUUUUAGUAGAGGUGGGGUUCCACCAUGUUGGCCAGGAUGGUCUCGAUCUUUUGACCUCAUGAUCCGCCUGCCUCAGCCUCCCAAAGUGCUGAGAUUACAGGUGUGAGCCACUGUGUUCAGCCUAUUUAUAUAUUUUCAUAUGU